This 419-nucleotide ribosomal RNA is filed under the name bacterium. RNAcentral's name for it is "partial 16S ribosomal RNA". It matches the Rfam family "Bacterial small subunit ribosomal RNA", at positions 355 to 776 of the family's 1533-position model. The record is from RNAcentral.
UGGGGGAUAUUGCACAAUGGGCGAAAGCCUGAUGCAGCGACGCCGCGUGGGGGAUGAAGGCCUUCGGGUUGUAAACUUCUUUUGCACUGAACAAGGCGCACCAUGGGGUGUGUUGAGUGUAGGGGUUGAUUAGCGCCGGCUAACUACGUGCCAGCAGCCGCGGUAAUACGUAGGGCGCGAGCGUUGUCCGGAAUUAUUGGGCGUAAAGGGCUUGUAGGUGGCUGGUUGCGUCUGUCGUGAAAGCUCAUGGCUUAACUGUGGGUUUGCGGUGGGUACGGGCUGGCUUGAGUGCAGUAGGGGAGGCUGGAAUUCCUGGUGUAGCGGUGGAAUGCGCAGAUAUCAGGAGGAAUACCGGUGGCGAAGGCGGGUCUCUGGGCUGUUACUGACACUGAGGAGCGAAAGCAUGGGGAGCGAACAGG